AUUGAUUUUAUGCUUGCAUAAAUGAUUUUUGGAUUCGGAGCGAGUGGCGAACUGGUGAGUAACACGUGGGUAACCUGCCCCGAAGCGGGGGAUAACAUUUGGAAACAAAUGCUAAUACCGCAUAAUUAGUUGGAACCGCAUGGUUCCAACUUGAAAGAUGGCUCUGCUAUCACUUUGGGAUGGACCCGCGCCGUAUUAGUUAGUUGGUGAGAUAAAAGCCCACCAAGACGAUGAUACGUAGCCGACCUGAGAGGGUAAUCGGCCACAUUGGGACUGAGACACGGCCCAGACUCCUACGGGAGGCAGCAGUAGGGAAUCUUCCACAAUGGACGAAAGUCUGAUGGAGCAACGCCGCGUGAGUGAUGAAGGGUUUCGGCUCGUAAAACUCUGUUGUUAAAGAAGAACAAGUGUUAGAGUAACUGUUAACACUUUGACGGUAUUUAACCAGAAAGCCACGGCUAACUACGUGCCAGCAGCCGCGGUAAUACGUAGGUGGCAAGCGUUGUCCGGAUUUAUUGGGCGCAAAGCGAGCGCAGGCGGUUUUGUAAGUCUGCUGUGAAAGCCCUCAGCUCAACUGAGGAAGUGCAGUGGAAACUACAAAACUUGAGUACAGAAGAGGAAAGUGGAACUCCAUGUGUAGCGGUGAAAUGCGUAGAUAUAUGGAAGAACACCAGUGGCGAAGGCGGCUUUCUGGUCUGUUACUGACGCUGAGGCUCGAAAGCAUGGGUAGCGAACAGGAUUAGAUACCCUGGUAGUCCAUGCCGUAAACGAUGAAUACUAGGUGUUGGAGGGUUUCCGCCCUUCAGUGCCGCAGCUAACGCAUUAAGUAUUCCGCCUGGGGAGUACGACCGCAAGGUUGAAACUCAAAGGAAUUGACGGGGGCCCGCACAAGUGGUGGAGCAUGUGGUUUAAUUCGAUGCUACGCGAAGAACCUUACCAGCUCUUGACAUCUUCUGCCAACCUAAGAGAUUAGGCGUUCCCUUCGGGGACAGAAUGACAGGUGGUGCAUGGUUGUCGUCAGCUCGUGUCGUGAGAUGUUGGGUUAAGUCCCGCAACGAGCGCAACCCUUAUUAUUAGUUGCCAGCAUUUAGUUGGGCACUCUAGUGAGACUGCCGGUGAUAAA
This 1123-nucleotide ribosomal RNA is filed under the name uncultured bacterium. RNAcentral's name for it is "bacterial SSU rRNA". It matches the Rfam family "Bacterial small subunit ribosomal RNA", at positions 47 to 1162 of the family's 1533-position model. The record is from RNAcentral.